UCCAGACUCCUACGGGAGGCAGCAGUGGGGAAUAUUGGGCAAUGGGCGCAAGCCUGACCCAGCGACGCCGCGUGAGGGAAGACGGUCUUCGGAUUGUAAACCUCUUUCAGCAGGGAAGACAAAAGGACGGUACCUGCAGAAGAAGCCACGGCUAACUACGUGCCAGCAGCCGCGGUAAUACGUAGGUGGCAAGCGUUGUCCGGAUUUACUGGGUGUAAAGGGCGUGUAGCCGGGCUGACAAGUCAGAUGUGAAAUCCGGGGGCUCAACCCCCGAACUGCAUUUGAAACUGUUGGUCUUGAGUAUCGGAGAGGCAGGCGGAAUUCCUAGUGUAGCGGUGAAAUGCGUAGAUAUUAGGAGGAACGCCAGUGGCGAAGGCGGCCUGCUGGACGACAACUGACGGUGAGGCGCGAAAGCGUGGGUAUCGAACAGGAUUAGAUACCCUAGUAGU
RNAcentral lists this ribosomal RNA (449 nucleotides) under uncultured bacterium. RNAcentral's name for it is "partial 16S ribosomal RNA". It matches the Rfam family "Bacterial small subunit ribosomal RNA", at positions 330 to 794 of the family's 1533-position model. The record is from RNAcentral.